Cyprinus carpio carpio is the source of this 1138-nucleotide long non-coding RNA. Lineage: Eukaryota; Metazoa; Chordata; Actinopteri; Cypriniformes; Cyprinidae. The record is from Ensembl.
GUCUCAUUCUGUAUCUUCUCUCACACUCGCUGUUAUGGAGUUGUUCAUCCUCAUAGUUUUUCUGCUCCUGAUGGAGGUUCAGUCUCACCGAUAUCCUAGAGUAAAAGUAUCUCCAGAUGUCAUAAGAGAGUCCAGCGCAGUGAAGAUCAGCUGUGAGACAGAACCACGUGUUACAGUGAAUAAAUGUGAUUUCUACAUAAACAGAGAGGAGAAGAAAAUGAAAACCAGUCCAUCAUGUGAGCUCGAGCUCACUGGUGCUGAAGUGUUCAGAUGGGCAGCUGUAAAAUCACCUGAAUCACUCAACAUUAUCUGUUACUACACAGUGAUAAAUGUGCAAGGCUCAUUCAUACCAUCAUCAGAUUCUGAUCCUGCCACAGUGACAGUUCUAGUUUCAACAUCAACCACCACUGAAGAAACUACUACAACAGCCAUGAAAACCCCAUUAACUGUAAUGUCCACUUCUGAGACUACAAUAUACAGUAAAACUGUUUCAACAUCAACCACUACUGAACAAACUACUUCCACAACCAUGAAAACCCCAUUAACUGUAAUGUCCACUUCUGAGAGUACAACAUACAGUAAAACUGACCUCCAAACCAAGAUAAACCCACCAAUCAGUACAGCAAAGGAAACCAUGAAUACAUUGUUAAUAGUGCUGGUCUCCAUUGGUGUUGCUGGAAGUUUGUCUGGACUCAUGGGACUCAUCUGUCUGUGCCGGUUUGCAUGUAAAAAAAGAAGAAAACCCAUUAAAAUGAGAUCAAUAAAAACAGAUGUGCCCAUUCAAGAAACUGGUAUAAGUUGUUCUGGAUCUGCAGAGAUGUAUUCUCUGAUCACUUCUGUACCAGAAACAUCUCAGCCCAUAUCUGCAGGCCUCGAACGUCCAGAAUCACAUCUGGACAGCACAGCAGAUCCCACAAAACACAUUAUGUCUGUAAAUGUAAUUUACCAGCCCUCAGAUGUUUUGAUCAAUAAACAACAGAAACAGGGAAAUCCAGAAGAAAACGAGAAUGUUUAUAACAUGUACAGCACGAUCCCUGAAAACCAGUUCACUCAAAUGCAGGCGAUUAAUCCUACAGUUUGGUGAAGAUGUCUUGUUUCAUUAUGUACUGUACAUGCAUUGAGGUAUCUUUACUUGCAG